UUAGAGUUUGAUCAUGGCUCAGGAUGAACGCUAGCGGCAGGCUUAACACAUGCAAGUCGAGGGGCAGCAUAAUGAAGUAGCAAUACUGAUUUGAUGGCGACCGGCGCACGGGUGCGUAACGCGUAUGUAACCUACCCUUAACAGGGGGAUAACACUGAGAAAUUGGUACUAAUACCCCAUAACAGUUCGGAGGGCAUCCUCUGGAUUUGAAAGUUCCGGCGGUUAAGGAUGGACUCGCGUCUGAUUAGAUAGUUGGUGAGGUAACGGCUCACCAAGUCGACGAUCAGUAGCCGAACUGAGAGGUUGAUCGGCCACAUUGGGACUGAGACACGGCCCAGACUCCUACGGGAGGCAGCAGUGGGGAAUAUUGCGCAAUGGGGGCAACCCUGACGCAGCAACGCCGCGUGAAGGAUGAAGGUCUUCGGAUCGUAAACUUUUGUCUUAUGGGAAGAACAAGGACGGUACCAUAGGAGGAAGCCACGGCUAACUACGUGCCAGCAGCCGCGGUAAUACGUAGGUGGCAGGCGUUGUCCGGAUUUACUGGGUGUAAAGGGCGUGUAGGCGGGUGAGUAAGUCAGAUGUGAAAUACCGAGGCUCAACCUCGGGGCUGCAUUUGAAACUACUUAUCUUGAGUAUCGGAGAGGAAAGCGGAAUUCCCAGUGUAGCGGUGAAAUGCGUAGAUAUUGGGAGGAACACCAGUGGCGAAGGCGGCUUUCUGGACGACAACUGACGCUGAGGCGCGAAAGCGUGGGUAGCAAACAGGAUUAGAUACCCUGGUAGUCCACGCCGUAAACGAUGGAUACUAGGUGUAGGAGGUAUCGACCCCUUCUGUGCCGGAGUUAACACAAUAAGUAUCCCACCUGGGGAGUACGAUCGCAAGAUUGAAACUCAAAGGAAUUGACGGGGGCCCGCACAAGCAGUGGAGUAUGUGGUUUAAUUCGAAGCAACGCGAAGAACCUUACCAGAACUUGACAUCCCCGGAAUCCCUGUGAGAACAGGGAGUGCCUUCGGGAAUCGGGUGACAGGUGGUGCAUGGUUGUCGUCAGCUCGUGUCGUGAGAUGUUGGGUUAAGUCCCGCAACGAGCGCAACCCUUGUUGUUAGUUGCCAUCAUUCAGUUGGGCACUCUAACGAGACUGCCGGCGAUAAGUCGGAGGAAGGUGGGGAUGACGUCAAAUCAUCAUGCCCCUUAUGUUCUGGGCUACACACGUACUACAAUGGCUGAAACAGAGGGAAGCGAAGUCGCGAGGCCAAGCAAAUCCCUAAACACAGUCCCAGUUCAGAUUGCAGGCUGAAACCCGCCUGCAUGAAGUUGGAAUUGCUAGUAAUCGCAGAUCAGAAUGCUGCGGUGAAUACGUUCCCGGGCCUUGUACACACCGCCCGUCACACCAUGAGAGUCGGUAACACCCGAAGCCUGUGAGCUAACCGCAAGGAGGCAGCAGUCGAAGGUGGGAUCGAUAAUUAGGGUGAAGUCGUAACAAGGUAACC
Molecule: ribosomal RNA, 1486 nt
Filed under: uncultured bacterium
Lineage: Bacteria
Description: 16S ribosomal RNA
Rfam family: Bacterial small subunit ribosomal RNA
Source: RNAcentral